AGGCAAAAACUACAUUUUAAGCUAAGCAAGAUUAGCAUUCUCUAAACCAACCUUAAACAGACAAUAUAAAUGCAUUUUUCUGUCACAAAUGAACCCUAGACAAUCGCAGCCACAGACCAAAUACUCUCACCUUCACAUUUUGCAUUUUUUGCAUUUGAGAUUUUUCUGCACAAACCACCAAAAACCCUUGAACCACCUUCAUUAUUUCUUCAUCUGGACUCCAUUUGGAAGUGAUUUGCAGCAUCAAAUCUCGUCUGCACAGCCAUCUUCAUGCUCUGCUAUUUCCAAGAUCCAACAAUGGCAGUUAGAGCUUUGAAGAGUUCCAAGUAUCAUUAAGCCAAAUAGCCUCAAAUAUCCAUCAUCCUGUAGCUGUGUGGGCAUCUGGUUCGAGCUGAAAACAUCUAAACAACCCUGUUUCACAUUUUUCUUCACAACCAAGUAAGUUUUCGACCAUCAUCAUUCUCAAAUCUAUGCCAUGUGUUAGAUAGAACUUGCUUAACUGAAUCCAUUGCAACUUACAUCAUGCUAAUUGGUUGAUUGUGCUGUGAGAAAAGUGAAUUUCAUUAUUUAUGUUCAAACAAGUUUUAGCUCGAUUUGCUAUAUUCAUGAUGAGUUAAUGAAAAUGGACACCAUACUCUUGUUGCUUGAUGUUUAUUGAUGAUGUUAGCAUGCUUGGUUUCGAUUUCUGGGCACAUAAAAAUUUCGGAUGCAUGUUAGUGAUGAUGUUGUUGCUGCUGUUUAAACCUGAUGUUCUGUCCAGAAAACUCCCAUGAUUAUGUUGUUUUGCUGUUAGCUAGGGUUGCUUAUUGAUAAAUGUUCAUGGCCAUGCUCGAUUGUUUGAUGCUGGAUAUGUUUUUUUGUUCAUGUCAAUGGAUGAUGUUGUUUGAAAAUGAAUGAUGUUGGUGCUGCAUAUGCCCUGCUGUUUGAAAACUUUAAACUUGCUCAUAAAAUCCACAUGUUGGUGUUUGUUGUGUUUGGUCAUGGAUGCUGGAUUGUUGUAUGAUCGUUGUUACAUGUUGCUGUUCAUUUGUUGUUGUUUUUGAUCGAUUGAUGAAGCUGAAUCAUGAACCUUGCUGUGUUAGAAACCCUAGGGUUUUUCUUAAACCCAGAAAAUUCAUCCAUUGGCCGAGUUACUGUUUUAUUGGCUGAGAGCCAAUCAAAACAUUUCAUUUCGAAGGGCCAAAACGCGCAGCUUUGAUUAGUGAGGCGGAUAUUACAAGUUUGCCAUCGGUUGACCUUAGUUUGACCCCUUUGUUCAUGUUGCUUGCUCAUGUUGCUUCAAUUAUUCACUCAAGUUCACAAAUUCAUUUCUUUCUCAAUUUUCAUCCAAAAAUCAUGAAAUUUUUUCCAUCAUCUUCACAAGAAUGUCCUCUAUUUUAUUGUGAAUUUUAAUUAAUUUUCCAUUGACUGGAUUUUUAAUGAUAAUUGUUUUCCCAACAUGU
RNAcentral lists this long non-coding RNA (1442 nucleotides) under Lathyrus oleraceus (garden pea). RNAcentral's name for it is "Pisum sativum (pea) long non-coding RNA (PSAT_LNC025173)". The record is from RNAcentral. Lineage: Eukaryota; Viridiplantae; Streptophyta; Magnoliopsida; Fabales; Fabaceae.